Molecule: long non-coding RNA, 1161 nt
Filed under: Coturnix japonica (Japanese quail)
Lineage: Eukaryota; Metazoa; Chordata; Aves; Galliformes; Phasianidae
Description: lncRNA (ENSCJPG00005000304.1)
Source: RNAcentral
GUUGAAUUUAAACUGAGAUGUGGCAUGGUUUGAAGCAUAGUCACUUCAAAAGUGCUGUCCUAAUCAGAGCUUCUUACAGUAACUUAAAUGAAGCUUGAUCAAGCCAAACCUAAGCCAAACCCUGCUCUCAGUUCCACCAGAGAAAAUGCCAGUGUCACAUGGCUGUGCUGUCAGAAUGCUUCAUCACAGCUAACAAACCCCAAGGAACACCUCUGAGUUACCAUGCACCUGGGGAGCAGCAGCACACAGCCAACUCUGCCUGCCUUGGUCAACCCUGUCUCCUCUGCUUCACAUGGUCAGGUGCUGCACAUGUGCUUUGCACCUGUAGAUAAAUCAAGAUUUCUCUAGUCAUUCUACUUAGGGAAUUACUUCGAUCUGCUUAAAUAUCUUACAUACUGAAUACUGACAUCACUCAUGAAUGGUACAGCAAAUCCCAGACACUACAGUGUUAAUUCUGCAGGCGGUGAUACUGACUUGCAUGUUCAGCCUGUCCACAUCAGAAGAUCUAUCACCAGUAACUGUCACAGGGAGAAGCCUACUCUGCUAAAAACAAUCAAGCAUCAAUGGAGGUAUCUAUCAUUUAAUACUAUGACUGCGCUCAAAGUACUCUAAUAAAGCAUACAUGUAUUCUGACCAAGAAAAGUGAAGUCAGUGGUCACAAACUGCACAUGAUAAAACUGGAAUUCAGAAAUUGAAGGACUGAGCAGACCACUAAAAUGAUGUUGCUACUUCACAGCCUUGCUAUUCUGUAAAACAGGAGAGGUGUAAGUACUUUCAUCAGAAAGACUAUGUAAAGUUAUUUUUAAAUAACAUGCAGAAAACAACAGCAGUUGUCCCAAGCUAGGCAUGCUUUGUUUUAUUUAUUUUAUUUACUUGCGUCUGCUUACUGUAUCACAUUUCUUUUGGGCUUUUGCCCAGAUUUUAAAAUGUCUAUACUUAAAAUUACAUUUUUAAAUGCACAAGCCAAGACUAAGGGAGCUGUUUUCAUUUUUUCUCCUAAAAUGACAAUAUAAUAUCAAGCGCCUACUUCAGAAAAUCUUUCUCUUCAAAGGCCUGUUGAAUGAAUCAUCAGCAAAUGCACGCAAGUCUUGGAGAGAUCAACAAGCAUUUGUCACUGUAAUCCAAAAAGAAAUCUCUCUAUGCAUAGGUUACUAAUUUUCU